CUCUGAAGAGAGAGUCAAAGACCGUGAAACCGCUCAGAGUAUAAGCCCAUGGAGCUUGGAAGGCAUAUCGCUAGCGGGGCAUCGGUCUCCCUUCACGGGGAGCUGGUGUUACCUUGCUUCUGUUGUGGCUCGUUAUGGUAGGGGGGUCAAGUCCACAUCCCGCCGUCGUGUGGGGAGUUCUCGGGNGUGUCGUUGCUUUGCGGCUUCGACUUCGGUUGGCCGUAGCGUCUUCGCGCUUGGUUCUCCUUUGGUCACGAACGUUCAGACUCAGUUGCAAGACGCGAUAACCAGCCCACCACGGCACGUUGUGAGGUCACCCACAGGCUUGCUUUCGAUUGUGGUCCUUGACGCCGAGCAAGCACAAUGCGUGUCGCAGAUGUUCCUAACCGGGCAAUGGGCCAGGAUCGUGGACGAAACGCGCUCAAAAGUCAGGACCGGGCGAUGACAAAGUUCUGGUAUGAUCCUCAUGCGACGAGCCGGCUUCUGGCCGAUUCCGAUGCUCAGGUCUCUCGCAUGUGCCGCGGGAGAUCGCUUUGGCGGUCUGGAUCUCAAAGAGUCCUCUCAGCCGGGCAACGGAAAGAGUGGUGUAAAGUCCAAGCCCAUGGGUCACGUCUCGAAACACGGGCCAAGGAGUAUAGCAUGUGUGCAAGUCUAAGGGUCUCACAAAACCCCGAAGGCGAAGUGAAAGCAAGUAAGCGGCGGGUGAUCUACGGAGAGAUCCCGUCAGCUAGAGGGGCCUUCGGGGUCUCUCCGGCUUUGGCAGAGUUGAUCCUGCAGCGGUACNGCAUACGUACGCUCAGGCGCAAACUCCAGGCUCACGUUUCGCACUGGUCUCGGACUGUGCUGUGAGCACCGUGGAGCAUGCAUGC
This 869-nucleotide ribosomal RNA is filed under the name Gammarus fossarum. Its description in RNAcentral is "eukaryotic LSU rRNA". It matches the Rfam family "Eukaryotic large subunit ribosomal RNA", at positions 374 to 809 of the family's 3401-position model. The record is from RNAcentral. Lineage: Eukaryota; Metazoa; Arthropoda; Malacostraca; Amphipoda; Gammaridae.